Herpailurus yagouaroundi (jaguarundi) is the source of this 313-nucleotide long non-coding RNA. RefSeq lists it as uncharacterized. The transcript has 3 exons. NCBI's taxonomy places the organism in Eukaryota, Metazoa, Chordata, Mammalia, Carnivora, Felidae. The record is from RefSeq and is a predicted model, not a curated record.
GUCCUAGGGAAGCGUCGCAGCACCCGGAGCAUGCUGUGCCCUCCUGCCCUCCUGGUGCCUUCUCCCGCCCAGCACAGCGCCUGGCCACAGCAGGUGCACUGCACGCUUAUUUUUAAAGUGAAUGUGUGCGUCUUACGCCGCCGCCCCAUUUGGGAUACAUUUGGGGGUGUGCAGAGGCUUCUCCGGACUCUUGAGUUUUGUCCUUGGUGAGACAUGAGACUUGUAAACAUCGUCAAGGAAGGAUCUACCCACAAUUCGCUUUGAAUUCUACACACUGUCGAGUCCAUCACUUUGUAUAAAGCAAAACAAGAAG